Molecule: long non-coding RNA, 505 nt
Organism: Mytilus californianus (California mussel)
Lineage: Eukaryota; Metazoa; Mollusca; Bivalvia; Mytilida; Mytilidae
Exons: 2
Source: RefSeq, a predicted model, not a curated record
GGGUUUUAUUCUUGAAUUCUUGGGGUUCUUUAAUAUGCUGAAUCUAACCGUGUAUUAAGUUUUUGGAUUUUGGGCCCCGUUUUUAAAUUGGUCCACAUUGAGGUCCAAAGGGUCCAAAAUUUAACUUUGUUUGAUUUCAUCAAAAAUUGAAUUAUUGGGGUUCUUUGAUAUGCCGAAUCUAACCGUGUAUUUAGAUUCUUAAUUUUUGGUUCCGUUUUCAAAUUGGUCUACAUUAAGGUCCAAAGGGUCCAAAAUUAAACUUAGUUUGAUUUUAACAAAAAUUGAAUUUUUAGGGUUCUUUGAUAUGCUGAAUCUAAACAUGUAUUUAGAUUUUUGAUUAUGGGCCCAGUUUUCAAGUUGGUCCAAAUCGGGGUCCAAAAUUAAACUUUGUUUGAUUUCAACAAAAAUUGAAUAUAUGGGGUUCUUUGAUAUGCUGAAUCUAACCAUGUAUUUAGAUUUUUGAUUUUUGGGCCCCGUUAUCAACUUUGUCCACAUUGAGGUCAAA